UUCUAAGGGCGGUGAAGUCAGACCGGAAGGACUGGUGGAGCGCUUAGAAGUGAGAAUGCCGGUAUGAGUAGCGAAAGAAGGGUGAGAAUCCCUUCCACCGAAUAUCUAAGGUUUCCUGAGGAAGGCUCGUCCGCUCAGGGUUAGUCGGGACCUAAGCCGAGGCCGAUAGGCGUAGGCGAUGGACAACAGGUAGAGAUUCCUGUACCAGUGCUAAUUGUUUAACCGAUGGGGUGACACAGAAGGAUAGGGAAUCGCACGAAUGGAAAUGUGCGUCCAAGCAGUGAGUGUGAGAAGUAGGCAAAUCCGCUUCUCGCGAAGCAUGAGCUGUGAUGGGGAAGGAAAUUAAGUACGGAAGUUCCUGAUUUCACGCUGUCAAGAAAAGCCUCUAGGAAGAGUAGUACUGCCCGUACCGCAAACCGACACAGGUAGAUGAGGAGAGAAUCCUAAGGUGAGCGAGAGAACUCUCGUUAAGGAACUCGGCAAAAUGACCCCGUAACUUCGGGAGAAGGGGUGCUCUAUUAGGGUGCAAGCCCGAGAGAGCCGCAGUGAAUAGGCCCAGGCGACUGUUUAGCAAAAACACAGGUCUCUGCAAAACCGUAAGGUGACGUAUAGGGGCUGACGCCUGCCCGGUGCUGGAAGGUUAAGAGGAGUGCUUAGCUUCGGCGAAGGUACGAAUUGAAGCCCCAGUAAACGGCGGCCGUAACUAUAACGGUCCUAAGGUAGCGAAAUUCCUUGUCGGGUAAGUUCCGACCCGCACGAAAGGCGCAACGAUCUGGGCACUGUCUCAACGAGAGACUCGGUGAAAUUAUAGUACCUGUGAAGAUGCAGGUUACCCGCGACAGGACGGAAAGACCCCGUGGAGCUUUACUGCAACCUGAUAUGGAAUGUUUGUACCGCUUGUACAGGAUAGGUAGGAGCCGAAGAGACGUGUGCGCUAGCAUACGAGGAGGCAAUGGUGGGAUACUACCCUGGCUGUAUGACCAUUCUAACCCGCCACGCUUAGCGCGUGGGGAGACAGUGUCAGGUGGGCAGUUUGACUGGGGCGGUCGCCUCCUAAAGAGUAACGGAGGCGCCCAAAGGUUCCCUC
RNAcentral lists this ribosomal RNA (1087 nucleotides) under Listeria monocytogenes. Its description in RNAcentral is "partial 23S ribosomal RNA". It matches the Rfam family "Bacterial large subunit ribosomal RNA", at positions 1239 to 2323 of the family's 2925-position model. The record is from RNAcentral. Lineage: Bacteria; Bacillati; Bacillota; Bacilli; Caryophanales; Listeriaceae.